AUUUUGUGGAGCCUAAAUUACACAAUUUUCUUCAUAAUGCAUGUAUUACAUGUUAAACAGGUUAAUGUAAAAUGAAUUAUGGCACUUCCAAGGCCUUUCCGUGAUGAUUAUUACGGACAUGUCAAUCAUGUUAUAUACUUAGGCAGCUGUAACGCGUUCAAUCAGUUAGCAAGUCAGAAAUAUCAGUUCCCUAGUACCAACUAGCACUUGAAUGCUGUAUUAUGCUGGCUUCACAUUUUCAUGGGAAAAUGGGAAUGUGUAACUCCGACAUGAUUGUGUUCAAGUGCUUUUGAAGUCGGAAUAAUUCUUAAACCAAUAAGAUUGACAACAUCAUUUUCUCAUUUCCCACUUGUAAUUCAUAUUUGGAGGUUCAUUCAAGUGAAACUUCCCAGUCGAAACCAGGAAUUUCCGAGAACUCCGAUGGCACCUGAACGAGGCAUUGGUAUGUGUAAAAGACAAUAGUAGGGUCUGGGUCGCGGCGUGUCCACCCCUCAUACCCAUUCACGACCACCACUCCAAAUCUUAGGCGAAAAUAACGGAAACUGAUCCAAGAUCAGUCCUGUACAGGCAACUUCAACACAAUGUAAUGCGGAGCGCGUUCCUGCUCGUCAACACAAUCGGCUGCAGGGGAGGUUACUUUCUGCGUUCGGUUUAUUUGUGAAUAUAAAAUUAAAUUAAUCUAAAUAGCGUAUAUUCUUAUUCUGUGCAGAAUCUGUGUAUUUUGACCUACAACCCAUGCGCAUCAUGACUUCAACAAAGGAAACUUGGAAUGUACCGGAUCCUCCUAUGCGAUCAUCCUCUUUCCCGUACUCUGUGCUUCCCAGCAAACAGUCCAGUCUGAGACUCAGCAGGUGAAAGGCAUCAUGGGACAGUCUUUCUCUUUUCAAGAGAGGGUGAUCAAGACUGCCAAUUUACUUUAUGGAGAACUUGAUAGUAUUGCAAAUGUGUACCCUGGUAAACGAGGCAAAAUCACCCUUGAGAAGAGAUUUGAAAACCGCCUCCACUUGAACAAUGUUACAAGAUACUUCACUCUGUCAGCCCUUCAGAUUGACGAUGCUGGGGUUUAUACUGUGGAGAAUACAGAUGAAGGGAAAAAAACAACAAAAUUUGAGCUCACUGUAUACAAUGUUGUUUCCAAACCUCAGGUGACAGAGUGUGACAGCAGCUCCUGUAGUGUGGUGUGUUCUGUGGACAAUGAAAAAGAGGUGACCUUGACCUUGUACAGGGGAGAGGAAAUACUAAACCAAACUCUCCAUUUGGAGGUAGAGGGAAAGAACUACAACUCCACCUACAGCUGUGUGGCUGCCAACCCUGUCAGCAUUGAGACAGUUCUUGUCCCAAAAUGUUGCAGUGAAGAUGGUCAUCCUAAUGAUGCUGACAGUAGCGAGAUGACUCUGGGUAUGGUUAUUAUUGCUGUAUUCUGCAUUCUGGUUGCCUCUGGGCUGGUUGGACUAGCAAUCUAUCUAAGGAAGAGUAGAAAUGAACACUCACAAGGCAGGUAUUUAUCUGUUACAGGUGUGAGCUCACUCCCCAAAGACAAAACAUCUUUAGCCUUGUUUUUUUUGUGUGUAUUUUUUUACAAUCAAUGGUAGUGUUUUGGAAAAGGUAGGAAAUGUUUGCUUGAACACAGGAUGCAGGUAAAAUAUAUACUACACUUCCUCUGCUUGGUCAGACAGUGUCAUUAUCCCAGACGACUUCUAAAUGUUGAAAAAGCAGAAGGCACACACACUCUUGACAAUGAUUACUUGAAAAGCUCAUCUCAUCUGACACUGUCUUAAAGACUGCAAGCACAGACACUGAUUUACAUAGUAACAAAUGAGUCCUGAGUGUUUACAGAACCUGUCCAGGGAGGUGAGCGUCUGUAUGUCUCUGUCAGUUAGUCGCACCUCACCUCACCUUCGGCCCAUAUUUACUUUCCUUUAUGUGUCUUCAUAGAUUCAGCCGAAAGAGUGCAAGUUGACAUUGAGGAUGCAACGAUAACUCCUAAAAAACGAACAGAUAACCAGGUUAGGAAAAAUGUUACAGGCUUAUUGACAAUACGGCAGCUUUAGCAGCCCUCAUGUCUACAACUGUCAGUGGGUUCAUGUGGCAUUGAGUUGCACAGACCACCUGAGUUUGAUACCAGGCCUGAUGUCAUUGCAACCAGUUUUG
Molecule: long non-coding RNA, 2151 nt
Organism: Oncorhynchus tshawytscha (Chinook salmon)
Lineage: Eukaryota; Metazoa; Chordata; Actinopteri; Salmoniformes; Salmonidae
Source: Ensembl